RNAcentral lists this long non-coding RNA (1129 nucleotides) under Gallus gallus (chicken). Its description in RNAcentral is "lncRNA (ENSGALG00010025861.1)". Lineage: Eukaryota; Metazoa; Chordata; Aves; Galliformes; Phasianidae. The record is from RNAcentral.
GUAAGGCUCCCAUCCCAUCACUGUGAGGGACAGAACUGAGACCCCUCCUCGCUCCUCAUUAAAACCUCAUCAGCUCCAGCUCGUUAGCUCCUGGGAGUUUAACUGACGGUGGGAGGAAGCAGCUGAGAGCCCAUAGGUGUGGGGUGGGAUGAUGGGUGUAGGGAAGAGUGGAGCAGGAAGGAUUUCCUGCAGUGCAGCAAUGAGGUGGGCACAGGGGGUGUUAUUCCGCUCUAUCCCUUCUAUCUGGGGUGCCAUCUGCAAACCCAGAAUGAAGACUGCACUCUUCCAUUAACAGCGCAUGUAACGUUGCUAUUCUAUAAUGUUUUCUCUCACCUUAUCUCAGACCUUUAUGCUUAACAAGUAGCUCUGAAACAGAUCUGGCAUCGCAUCUUUGAGGCAACUUGCAUUUAAAUCAACGUCCGACGCCUCUGCUUCCAUGGAUCAAGAUUAAUUCCCGUCUCCAGCUCCAGAAUCUCAUCUUUAGCAGCACAGAUAACAGCAAUGACUCGAGGCUCUUCCCAGAAGCAUAACUGCAUUAUGAGGCGGCGGAGCUGAUGACGAACAUCUGUGCACCCUGAGGAACUCGUCCUUCAGACGGGCAGGGACUGACAUGCGUGGGGCAGCACCGGGUCCUGGCAGUUUGGGAUUUACAGACCUGGGGGUUUGCAGUCACUUUUCAGGGGACCAUUUUCCUGGAUGGAGCCCUCAGCUCUCUCAGAGCCACAGCUCCGGGCUGAGUUCCUUCCAUGCAGAUUCUGGAGCUGCUCCUCGCCCUGAGCGUGACCAAGACCUUAACUUGCUGGGGGUCAAAGUGGGGGUUCUCACAUCACGGUGCAGCCUCCCCAUUGGCAUCUCCAACAGCUCCAAGCUGCCUCCUGUGGCUCCCUGAUGGUGGCAUCAUUGUGUGGUGUUUUGUGCCCCUCUGUAGGGCCUGGAUGAAAAUAUCAGUCCGCAGCUUGCAGAGUUACUAGAAGCACCGGCUCUAACAGCACUCUGCAUCAAGAAGGGCUAUAAAUUCAUUUGGCAUAAAAUUGUAACAGCCAUCCAGAAUUUGCCAGAAGGAAGAAAACCAACCCAGUUCCUCCUGCUCUGAGAGCAAGUCCAAUAAAUUUAAUUUAAAAACUGUGAG